Molecule: long non-coding RNA, 849 nt
Filed under: Elaeis guineensis (African oil palm)
Lineage: Eukaryota; Viridiplantae; Streptophyta; Magnoliopsida; Arecales; Arecaceae
Description: long non-coding RNA (EGUI_LNC018098)
Source: RNAcentral
GAAACUAUUAGGUAGCUUUUCUUGCACAAAAAAAAAAUCUAAAUACGAAAAUUAAAUAUUGGCCAAAUAAUUUGAUCAAUCUCUAAUUGACAUCUUCCAUAUAUAUAAGAUCCGGUAUUAGGUGGACAUCUUCUAUAUAUAAAAGAUCAAGUGGGUAUCUUCUGUAUAUAAAAGAUCCUACAUCAAAGAUGGAAGACAUAUAGAUCAGAGAUAGCAUCCAAAGCAGUUGCAACCCCUGGGUGCAAAGGAGCAAAAGCCAAAGGGUCUAUUUGGAAUGUGGCAGUUGAUGGCAUAGCAGCAGGGAGAAGGGAGACAAAUUCCUUUGGGGCCUCUGCAGUAGGUGUAGAGAGCACAUAUCUGGAAGCUCCCAAGCCGCCUCCUGAUCUCAUUCAGCACCGAAGUCCUAAGCACAGCCACAGGCUUCAUCACUGCUGACUCAUUCGACAGAGCCUGCUGAAAUGGCACAAAUCCAUAGGAAAUCAAGUGAAGUAGAGCUCACAUAAAUGCCAAGUAAGCAAAGAUGGAAAAGUUACAUGACCUGAGCUUCGCCCAUUAGAGAGAAAAGUUAUGAACAUGAGGAAAAGGAUGUAGUGAGAGAGAACUCCCGGUUUGGUAGUCAUCUCUCCCUCUCUCUAAAGGGAGCUUGAGAGGAAGAGCAUACUUUUCUUUUGUGGUUAAAAAGAGGGGAGAAGCUAGGAGCCUUAGAGGGGAUUUUAGUGCACUACUAGCUAGUGUGGUGUGCAAGAGGCUUCAAUUUUUUUGUUGGUGAAGUGAGAGGAGAUGGAGGUGGGAAUAUGGAAAAGGUUGAGGGCAAGUGAGUUGGAGCCUUGGAGGGAUAGGGAAACUGUU